Molecule: ribosomal RNA, 1448 nt
Filed under: Lactobacillus sp.
Lineage: Bacteria; Bacillati; Bacillota; Bacilli; Lactobacillales; Lactobacillaceae
Description: bacterial SSU rRNA
Rfam family: Bacterial small subunit ribosomal RNA
Source: RNAcentral
UCAUGCAAGUUGAGCGAGCGCCACCAACAAAUUUACUUCUACAAUCACGCUGAUAAACCGAGCGGCGAUUGCUUGACUAACACGUGCGCCAACCUGCCCCAGCUGAGGUACGAAUUGCUUUACAGGUGCUAAUUCCCACCUGUUUCGCAGAUCGCUCCCUCACUUUUUGACAGGUGCCCCACGCUGUACUCACCCAUCGGCCCCGCGCUUUCUUAACGUCAUUACCGAAGUAAAUCUGACCAAUCCGCUCAUGCAAAUUCGAUGUGAGAGACUGAUCGCCCACGUUGGUCCUGAGCCAUGAUCAAACUCUCUACGGGAGGCAGCAGUAGGGAAUCUUCCACAAUGGACGCAAGUCUGAUGGAGCAACGCCGCGUGAGUGAAGAAGGUUUUCGGAUCGUAAAGCUCUGUUGUUGGUGAAGAAGGAUAGAGGUAGUAACUGGCCUUUAUUUGACGGUAAUCAACCAGAAAGUCACGGCUAACUACGUGCCAGCAGCCGCGGUAAUACGUAGGUGGCAAGCGUUGUCCGGAUUUAUUGGGCGUAAAGCGAGCGCAGGCGGAAAAAUAAGUCUAAUGUGAAAGCCCUCGGCUUAACCGAGGAACUGCAUCGGAAACUGUUUUUCUUGAGUGCAGAAGAGGAGAGUGGAACUCCAUGUGUAGCGGUGGAAUGCGUAGAUAUAUGGAAGAACACCAGUGGCGAAGGCGGCUCUCUGGUCUGCAACUGACGCUGAGGCUCGAAAGCAUGGGUAGCGAACAGGAUUAGAUACCCUGGUAGUCCAUGCCGUAAACGAUGAGUGCUAAGUGUUGGGAGGUUUCCGCCUCUCAGUGCUGCAGCUAACGCAUUAAGCACUCCGCCUGGGGAGUACGACCGCAAGGUUGAAACUCAAAGGAAUUGACGGGGGCCCGCACAAGCGGUGGAGCAUGUGGUUUAAUUCGAAGCAACGCGAAGAACCUUACCAGGUCUUGACAUCUAGUGCAAUCUGUAGAGAUACGGAGUUCCCUUCGGGGACGCUAAGACAGGUGGUGCAUGGCUGUCGUCAGCUCGUGUCGUGAGAUGUUGGGUUAAGUCCCGCAACGAGCGCAACCCUUGUUAUUAGUUGCCAGCAUUAAGUUGGGCACUCUAAUGAGACUGCCGGUGACAAACCGGAGGAAGGUGGGGAUGACGUCAAGUCAUCAUGCCCCUUAUGACCUGGGCUACACACGUGCUACAAUGGGCAGUACAACGAGAAGCAAGCCUGCGAAGGCAAGCGAAUCUCUGAAAGCUGUUCUCAGUUCGGACUGCAGUCUGCAACUCGACUGCACGAAGCUGGAAUCGCUAGUAAUCGCGGAUCAGCACGCCGCGGUGAAUACGUUCCCGGGCCUUGUACACACCGCCCGUCACACCAUGGGAGUCUGCAAUGCCCAAAGCCGGUGGCCUAACCUUCGGGAAGGAGCCGUCUAAGGCAAGGCAA